Molecule: transfer RNA, 71 nt
Filed under: Camelus bactrianus (Bactrian camel)
Lineage: Eukaryota; Metazoa; Chordata; Mammalia; Artiodactyla; Camelidae
Also listed under: 2 other names
Rfam family: tRNA
About the family: Transfer RNA (tRNA) molecules are approximately 80 nucleotides in length.
Source: Rfam by way of RNAcentral
GAGGUUAUAGCUCAGUGGUAGAGCGCAUGCUUGGCAUGUAUGAGGUCCUGGGUUCAACCCCCAUUACCUCC